GAUGAACGCUAGCUACAUGCUUAACACAUGCAAGUCGAGGGGAAACGGCAUCGAAAGCUUGCUUUUGAUGGGCGUCGAACGGCGCACGGGGGAGUAACGCGUAUCCAACCUGCCCAUCACUUGGGAAUAACCUUGCGAAAGUAAGACUAAUGCCCAAUGACAUCCCAAGAAAGCAUCCGAAUGGGAUUAAAGAUUUAUCGGUGAUGGAUGGGGAUGCGUCUGAUUAGCUUGUUGGCGGGGUGACGGCCCACCAAGGCAACGAUCAGUAGGGGUUCUGAGAGGAAGGUCCCCCACAUUGGAACUGGGACACGGUCCAAACUCCUACGGGAGGCAGCAGUGAGGAAUAUUGGUCAAUGGGCGAGAGCCUGAACCAGCCAAGUAGCGUGCAGGAUGACGGCCCUAUGGGUUGUAAACUGCUUUUAUAAGGGAAUAAAGUGGGUCACGUGUGACUUUUUGCAUGUACCUUAUGAAGAAGGACCGGCUAAUUCCGU
This 491-nucleotide ribosomal RNA is filed under the name uncultured bacterium. RNAcentral's name for it is "partial 16S ribosomal RNA". It matches the Rfam family "Bacterial small subunit ribosomal RNA", at positions 28 to 506 of the family's 1533-position model. The record is from RNAcentral.